UUAUUCCUACGGGGGGCAGCAGUGGGGGAUAUUGCACAAUGGGGGGAACCCUGACGCAGCGACGCCGCGUGGGCGAUGGAGUGCUUCGGCAUGUAAAGCCCUAUCAGCAGGGAAGAAAAUGACGGUACCUGACUAAGAAGCCCCGGCUAAAUACGUGCCAGCAGCCGCGGUAAUACGUAUGGGGCAAGCGUUAUCCGGAUUUACUGGGUGUAAAGGGAGCGUAGACGGCAGCGCAAGUCUGGAGUGAAAUGCCGGGGCUCAACCCCGGAACUGCUUUGGAAACUGUGCAGCUAGAGUGCGGGAGG
RNAcentral lists this ribosomal RNA (305 nucleotides) under uncultured bacterium. RNAcentral describes it as "bacterial SSU rRNA". It matches the Rfam family "Bacterial small subunit ribosomal RNA", at positions 333 to 655 of the family's 1533-position model. The record is from RNAcentral.